RNAcentral lists this ribosomal RNA (382 nucleotides) under uncultured bacterium. RNAcentral describes it as "partial 16S ribosomal RNA". It matches the Rfam family "Bacterial small subunit ribosomal RNA", at positions 523 to 907 of the family's 1533-position model. The record is from RNAcentral.
AUACGGAGGAUCCGAGCGUUAUCCGGAUUUAUUGGGUUUAAAGGGAGCGUAGGUGGAUUGUUAAGUCAGUUGUGAAAGUUUGCGGCUCAACCGUAAAAUUGCAGUUGAAACUGGCAGUCUUGAGUACAGUAGAGGUGGGCGGAAUUCGUGGUGUAGCGGUGAAAUGCUUAGAUAUCACGAAGAACUCCGAUUGCGAAGGCAGCUCACUAGACUGUUACUGACACUGAUGCUCGAAAGUGUGGGUAUCAAACAGGAUUAGAUACCCUGGUAGUCCACACAGUAAACGAUGAAUACUCGCUGUUUGCGAUAUACAGUAAGCGGCCAAGCGAAAGCAUUAAGUAUUCCACCUGGGGAGUACGCCGGCAACGGUGAAACUCAAAGG